GCAAGUCGAACGGAAGUCGUCAUAAUGAUUUUGAUAUGGAUUUGAAGAUUAUCUGAUUUGAAAUUGAAGAUGACUUAUGACAAUGGCUUUAGUGGCGGACUGGUGAGUAACGCGUAAGCAAUCUGCCUAUUAGAGGGGAAUAACAGUGAGAAAUCACUGCUAAUACCGCAUAUGCCAUAGUUAUCGCAUGAUAAUAGUGGGAAAGGAGUAAUCCGCUAAUAGAUGAGCUUGCGUCUGAUUAGCUAGUUGGUGGGGCAACGGCCUACCAAGGCAACGAUCAGUAGCCGGACUGAGAGGUUGAACGGCCACAUUGGGACUGAGAUACGGCCCAGACUCCUACGGGAGGCAGCAGUCGGGAAUAUUGCGCAAUGGAGGAAACUCUGACGCAGUGACGCCGCGUAUAGGAUGAAGGUUUUCGGAUUGUAAACUAUUGUCGUUAGGGAAGAUAAAAGACAGUACCUAAGGAGGAAGCUCCGGCUAACUACGUGCCAGCAGCCGC
RNAcentral lists this ribosomal RNA (499 nucleotides) under uncultured bacterium. RNAcentral describes it as "bacterial SSU rRNA". It matches the Rfam family "Bacterial small subunit ribosomal RNA", at positions 57 to 518 of the family's 1533-position model. The record is from RNAcentral.